Molecule: ribosomal RNA, 292 nt
Filed under: uncultured bacterium
Lineage: Bacteria
Description: partial 16S ribosomal RNA
Rfam family: Bacterial small subunit ribosomal RNA
Source: RNAcentral
GUGUCAGCAGCCGCGGUAAGACAGAGGGUGCAAACGUUGUUCGGAAUUACUGGGCGUAAAGCGCGUGUAGGCGGCUACGCAAGUCGGAUGUGAAAUCCCGUGGCUCAACCACGGAAGUGCACCCGAAACUGCGCAGCUUGAGUCUCGGAGAGGAAGGUGGAAUGCUUGGUGUAGAGGUGAAAUUCGUAGAUAUCAAGCGGAACACCGGUGGCGAAGGCGGCCUUCUGGACGAUGACUGACGCUGAGACGCGAAAGCGUGGGGAGCAAACAGGAUUAGAUACCCCUGUAGUCC